This 479-nucleotide long non-coding RNA is filed under the name Astyanax mexicanus (Mexican tetra). Its description in RNAcentral is "lncRNA (ENSAMXG00005011873.1)". The record is from RNAcentral. Lineage: Eukaryota; Metazoa; Chordata; Actinopteri; Characiformes; Acestrorhamphidae.
CACCUACAGCCCCUCGAGCGCUCUGUGCGCUGACAGUAACAUAAACAACAUUGACAAAACGAGACAAUGCAUUUUAUUAAGGCAGCACCUGCACAAGACACAGCACUGUGUGCUGAUGUUCAAGGACUUUCUCUUAUGAGACUACUGUGGAACUUCAUCAGACAUGUCAUCGAUCCAGUAGGACGUAUUCUCUUACUUUUUGCUUCCUGCCGGCCAUAUGUGCGAGCUCGUUUCUGUGUCAUGUCACCAAUACUUCCUCUGAAUCCAUCCGGAAGACCUAUCAUCAUGUACAGUAUACGGUUACACUGCUGCUACUCAGCUGUAUAUCCCCCAUCACUGGUGAUGCCACAACAAAAGGAGGGUAAAGACUAGCAGCACAUGCCUCCUCCGACACAUGUGAAGUCACCCACCGCCUUGCCGAGUAGCAUCACAGCGCACUCGGAGGAAAACGCAGCGACUCGGUUUCCGAUACAUCAGCU